Molecule: ribosomal RNA, 459 nt
Filed under: uncultured bacterium
Lineage: Bacteria
Description: partial 16S ribosomal RNA
Rfam family: Bacterial small subunit ribosomal RNA
Source: RNAcentral
CCUACGGGGGGCAGCAGUGAGGAAUAUUGGUCAAUGGUCGGGAGACUGAACCAGCCAAGCCGCGUGAGGGAUGAAGGUACAGAGUAUCGUAAACCUCUUUUGUCAGGGAACAAAGGCGGGGACGUGUCCCCGGAUGAGUGUACCUGAAGAAAAAGCAUCGGCUAACUCCGUGCCAGCAGCCGCGGUAAUACGGAGGAGGCGAGCGUUAUCCGGAUUUAUGGGGUUUAAAGGGUGCGCAGGCGGGCUGUUAAGUCAGCGGUCAAAGCCCGGGGCUACACCCCGGCCCGCCGUUGAAACUGGCAGUCUCGAGUUGGCGAGAAGUAUGCGGCAUGCGCGGUGUAGCGGUGAAAUGCUUAGAUAUCGCGCAGAACUCCGAUUGCGAAGGCAGCAUGCCGGCUCCACCCUGACGCUGAGGCACGAAAGCGUGGGUAUCGAACAGGAUUAGAUACCCCGGUAGUC